This 495-nucleotide ribosomal RNA is filed under the name uncultured bacterium. RNAcentral describes it as "partial 16S ribosomal RNA". It matches the Rfam family "Bacterial small subunit ribosomal RNA", at positions 28 to 507 of the family's 1533-position model. The record is from RNAcentral.
GACGAACGCUGGCGGCGUGCUUAACACAUGCAAGUCGAACGGAAAGGCCCUGCUUUUGUGGGGUGCUCGAGUGGCGAUCGGGUGAGUAACACGUGGAUAACCUACCUAUAAGACUGGGAUAACUUCGGGAAACCGGAGCUAAUACCGGAUAAUAUUUUGAACCGCAUGGUUCAAAAGUGAAAGACGGUCUUGCUGUCACUUAUAGAUGGAUCCGCGCUGCAUUAGCUAGUUGGUAAGGUAACGGCUUACCAAGGCAACGAUGCAUAGCCGACCUGAGAGGGUGAUCGGCCACACUGGAACUGAGACACGGUCCAGACUCCUACGGGAGGCAGCAGUAGGGAAUCUUCCGCAAUGGGCGAAAGCCUGACGGAGCAACGCCGCGUGAGUGAUGAAGGUCUUCGGAUCGUAAAACUCUGUUAUUAGGGAAGAACAUAUGUGUAAGUAACUGUGCACAUCUUGACGGUACCUAAUCAGAAAGCCACGGCUAACUACGUG